GACGAACGCUGGCGGCGUGCCUAAUACAUGCAAGUCGAACGCUUCUUUCCUCCCGAGUGCUUGCACUCAAUUGGAAAGAGGAGCGGCGGACGGGUGAGUAACACGUGGGUAACCUACCCAUCAGAGGGGGAUAACACUUGGAAACAGGUGCUAAUACCGCAUAACAGUUUAUGCCGCAUGGCAUAAGAGUGAAAGGCGCUUUCGGGUGUCGCUGAUGGAUGGACCCGCGGUGCAUUAGCUAGUUGGUGAGGUAACGGCUCACCAAGGCCACGAUGCAUAGCCGACCUGAGAGGGUGAUCGGCCACACUGGGACUGAGACACGGCCCAGACUCCUACGGGAGGCAGCAGUAGGGAAUCUUCGGCAAUGGACGAAAGUCUGACCGAGCAACGCCGCGUGAGUGAAGAAGGUUUUCGGAUCGUAAAACUCUGUUGUUAGAGAAGAACAAGGACGUUAGUAACUGAACGUCCCCUGACGGUAUCUAACCAGAAAGCCACGGCUAACUACGUG
RNAcentral lists this ribosomal RNA (508 nucleotides) under uncultured bacterium. RNAcentral describes it as "partial 16S ribosomal RNA". It matches the Rfam family "Bacterial small subunit ribosomal RNA", at positions 28 to 507 of the family's 1533-position model. The record is from RNAcentral.